GUCUACGUCCAUACCAACCUGAACGCGAUCUCCUCUGAUCUAGUGAAGCUAAGCAGGGUCGGCUGGGUGAGUGCUUGGAUGGGAUUCCGCCCAGGAAUACCAGGUGCUGAAGNNN
This 115-nucleotide ribosomal RNA is filed under the name Colobus angolensis palliatus. The record is from RNAcentral. Lineage: Eukaryota; Metazoa; Chordata; Mammalia; Primates; Cercopithecidae.